UUCAGACCCGCCUGCCAGUCUCAAUGUGCACAUGACCCUGCUCCAAAGAGACAAAACACGUGCCCUCCCAAAAGCAAGCUUCCUUUUUAAAAGUUCUUGAAGGACCUUAAAACAGGUUUUAGAGGCAAAGUAGUGAUGAACUCUGCCCCUUCUGGGCCAAUUUCAAACAGCUUCAAAUACUUUCUCAUUAUUU
Molecule: long non-coding RNA, 193 nt
Organism: Herpailurus yagouaroundi (jaguarundi)
Lineage: Eukaryota; Metazoa; Chordata; Mammalia; Carnivora; Felidae
Exons: 2
Source: RefSeq, a predicted model, not a curated record